Molecule: ribosomal RNA, 253 nt
Filed under: uncultured bacterium
Lineage: Bacteria
Description: partial 16S ribosomal RNA
Rfam family: Bacterial small subunit ribosomal RNA
Source: RNAcentral
UACGGGGGGGGCAAGCGUUGUUCGGAAUUACUGGGCGUAAAGGGCUCGUAGGCGGCCAACUAAGUCCGACGUGAAAUCCCCAGGCUUAACCGAGGAACUGCGUCCGAUACUGAAAGGCUUGAAUCCGGGAGAGGGAUGUGGAAUUCCAGGUGUAGCGGUGAAAUGCGUAGAUAUCUGGAGGAACACCGGUGGCGAAGGCGGCAUCCUGGACCGGCAUUGACGCUGAGGCGCGAAAGCUAGGGGAGCAAACGGG